ACGAACGCUGGCGGCGCGUCUUAAGCAUGCAAGUCGAGCGGGAUUCAUGUGCUUGCACGAUGAUGAGAGCGGCGGACUGGUGAGUAACACGUAGGUGACGUACCUUGAGGACGGGGACAGCCGGCAGAAAUGCCGGGUAAUACCGGAUAAGCUCGCGCGAGCUGGAGUCGCGCGAGGAAAGGAGCUAAGGCUCCGCCUCCAGAGCGGCCUGCGGCCCAUCAGCUUGUUGGCGGGUAAAGGCCCACCAAGGCGACGACGGGUAUCCGGCCUGAGAGGGUGAGCGGACACAUUGGGACUGAGAUACGGCCCAGACUCCUACGGGAGGCAGCAGCUAAGAAUAUUCCGCAAUGGGCGAAAGCCUGACGGAGCGACGCCGCGUGGACGAUGAAGGCCGGAAGGUUGUAAAGUCCUUUGGAGACCGAGGAAUAAGCGGGGAGGGAAUGCCCCGUGGUGACGGUAGGUCUAGAACAAGCACCGGCUAAUUACGUGCC
Molecule: ribosomal RNA, 491 nt
Filed under: uncultured bacterium
Lineage: Bacteria
Description: bacterial SSU rRNA
Rfam family: Bacterial small subunit ribosomal RNA
Source: RNAcentral